This is a long non-coding RNA of Hippopotamus amphibius kiboko, 2626 nucleotides long. RefSeq lists it as uncharacterized. The transcript is spliced from 3 exons. The record is from RefSeq and is a predicted model, not a curated record. Lineage: Eukaryota; Metazoa; Chordata; Mammalia; Artiodactyla; Hippopotamidae.
CAGGCCGGGGCCCAGACGCGACCCCGGGCGCUGGGACCGGACCCGCCCGCGGUCCAGGGCGCGCGGACUGCGCCGCCGGCGGCCGGAAGCACCGCGGCCCGCCCCGACCUGCCCGCCGCGGCGCAGGCGGCCCCACUCACCGAUGAGCCGGCGCACCUCGUCCUCGCUCAGGUCUCCCAGCGAACUGGUGCACCUUGUGAUGUACUGAUGUGUCGCGGUCAACCCUGCUCCAGGUGCCACCUCUCUUCGUGAGGCUUCCAAGCGUCCCUGGCAGGCCGGAUCACCUAGCCCCUGUGGGCCGGUCUCUGCGCUGACUCUCUACCUCCCAGUAGGCCCGUGCCUCUGGGAACAGCUGCUCCGGGCUAGGCCCAGCUUCACUGCGCCGUUGCUGCAGGAGCGUGGAUUUCUCCAUUUUUCUGAUCCAUUCAAAAGAAAUCAGUAUUUCUGCAUGACAAAACUACCAUAAACAAAAUUAAAAAGCGAAAGACAGGGGACUCCUCUGGUGGCACAGUGGUUAAGAAUCUGCCUGCCAAUGCAGGGGUCACGGGUUCGAUCCCUGGUCCAGGAAGAUCCCACAUGCCGUGGAGCAACUAAGCCCGUGCACCACAACCACUGAGCCUGUGCUCUAGGGCCCGCCAGCCACAACUAUUGAGCCCACAUGCCACAGCCACUGAAGCCUGCACGCCUAGAGCCCAUGCUCUGCAACAAGAGAAGCCCCCACAAUGAGAAGCCCACACACUGCAGCAAAAAGUAGCCCACACUUGCCACAACUAGAGAAAGCCCGUGCGCAGAAACGAAGACCCAAGUCAGCCAAUAAUAAAUUAAUUAAUUAUUUUUAAAAAGGCAAAAGACAAAUUGAAGAAAAAUCUUUACAAUUCUUAUCCCAGUCAAAGAACAGUGCCGUAUGAAGAACUUUUAAAUGCACACGCGUACCUACAAUUGAACAACAAAAAUAAAGAAAUGGACAAUUCACAGAAAAAUACCAACAGUUUGGAAAUAUAUUAAAAUGCUUAAGCUCAGUCAUAAAUAAGAAAAAUGCGAGUUAAAAUUACACUGAGAUACUGUAUUAUAACCUGUUAGACUAAUCUGUCUCUAAUGGUUUGAUAAUAUGUCAUAGCUGACAGGAAUGAAAGUUACAAGUCUCCGAGGCAGACAUUUUGACAAUUGUUAUCAAGUUUACAAAUGUGCAUAUUCUUUGACCAGCAGUUUCACUUCUAGUACUUUUUCCUGAAGAUAUAUUUGCACACUUAGGAAAUGAUAUGUGGACAAAGUUAUUCACUGCGUUAUUUUAUAACAGCAAACAGUUGGGAAAUAGUGCAGUGACUCGGUAAGCUAUGGUGGGUCCCCAUGGGUGUAAAGAAAAAUGAGAAGGCUCUUUAUAUAUGUAUAUGAGUAAGACCAGUUGCAGAGCAGUAUGUGGAGCGUGCUACUAUUUGUACAAAAAAGGGGCAAUGGAGUAUAAUUUUUAUGCUUGUACAUACAUAAUAUAGAUUUGGGAGAUUAUAAAAAACCACUACCACCAUCACCACAACCAUGUGUUCAUACUGAAUGUCUGGGGCAGAAGAACAGGAAAAGUAAUGGGAGGGAAACUUAUUGUACAUCCUUUGAUACUUUUUAGAAUUUGUGAAGCAAGUGAACAUAUACUCCUUUCCCUCAACAAUUUGUUUUAUAAUUCUUCUCAAAAAACAAACAAUAAUGUGGUUCAAUGAUUAGAAUCUUACUCUCUGGUACUAUUAUGUCUUCUCCUCCUCCUCCUCAUCCUCCUCUUCUUGCUCCAUGACUUUAUGAGAUUUGGGAGUGUGGGGAGGGACAGCAGAUAUGUGCACCUAGUUUCCACCUGGCUCCAUUCUCAUCUCUAAUUACUAAUCUCUGGUGUAUAGUAUCAUGUUCAAAAUAACAUAAGCCAGUGUGUUAUGACUGAGAGAGAGAGAAAGAGAGAGAGAGCAGGCCUGCAGGCUGGAAAUUCAAGGAAGACUUGAUGUUGCAGUCCUGAGCCCAAAAUCUACAGGCUAGGAACUCAGACAGAAUUUCUAUGUAGAAGUUUGCAUGCAGUCUGGAGGUCAAAUUCCUUCUUCAUGGAACUUGAGUCUUAAGGCCUUCCGCUGAUUAGAUUGAGGCCCACCCACGUGAUGGAAGGUCAUCUCUUUGUUACAAGUCUGCAGAGUCAAAUAUUAAUCACAUCUAAAAAAUGCUCUCACAAGCAGCAUCUAGACUGGUGUCUGACCAAACAGCUGGAGACCGCCGCUGAGCCAAGUUAGCACAUAAAAUUAGCUCCUGCAGCCAGUCUUCCUGUUCUUGUCCUCUUCGCUGCCCGUGGCUCUCCAUGGUGACUAGGAGUUGUUGGCGCUGAGCAAAGUGUUCACAGCACGUUGCCUCCUGUGCUCACCACAGCACUCUCCAGACACCCAUGCUGCCGCAGAGAUCAUAGGGUGUCAUUUUCACUCAAGUAUCAGAAUCGCUUCAUGGUUCUCCCAGCUCCACACAGAGGGAAGGUUCACCGGGACUGGGAUUUCACUGGACCGAAGUUCCCUUCCCUGGCUUCACUGAUUUACUAAAGCUGUCUCUAACCUUUUCCUCUCUUGUACUACAAAUAUAAUCAUAACAAAUAAACACUAUAUUUGUGACA